Molecule: ribosomal RNA, 1396 nt
Filed under: Trichococcus collinsii
Lineage: Bacteria; Bacillati; Bacillota; Bacilli; Lactobacillales; Carnobacteriaceae
Description: bacterial LSU rRNA
Rfam family: Bacterial large subunit ribosomal RNA
Source: RNAcentral
AAGUCUGAGAACGAGUGAAAUGCUUUUUCUCUCAAGGACAAGCUGUGAUGGGGAGCGAAAUUAAGUAGCGAAGUUCCUGAUGUCACACUGCCAAGAAAAGCUUCUAGUGAGAAAGUAACUGCCCGUACCGCAAACCGACACAGGUAGUUGAGGAGAGAAUCCUAAGGUGUGCGAGAGAACUCUCGUUAAGGAACUCGGCAAAAUGACCCCGUAACUUCGGGAGAAGGGGUGCUGACCGCAAGGUCAGCCGCAGUGAAUAGGCCCAAGCGACUGUUUAUCAAAAACACAGGUCUCUGCAAAAUCGAAAGAUGACGUAUAGGGGCUGACGCCUGCCCGGUGCUGGAAGGUUAAGAGGAGAGGUUAGCGCAAGCGAAGCUUUGAAUUGAAGCCCCAGUAAACGGCGGCCGUAACUAUAACGGUCCUAAGGUAGCGAAAUUCCUUGUCGGGUAAGUUCCGACCCGCACGAAAGGCGUAACGAUUUGGGCACUGUCUCAACGAGAGACUCGGUGAAAUUAUAGUACCAGUGAAGAUGCUGGUUACCCGCGACAGGACGGAAAGACCCCAUGGAGCUUUACUGCAGUUUGAUAUUGCGUGUUUGUAUCACAUGUACAGGAUAGGUAGGAGCCAAUGAUACCGGGACGCCAGUCUCGGAGGAGGCAACGGUGGGAUACUACCCUUGUGAUAUGACCACUCUAACCCGCUGCUCUUAGCGAGCAGGGAGACAGUGUCAGACGGGCAGUUUGACUGGGGCGGUCGCCUCCAAAAAUGUAACGGAGGCGCCCAAAGGUUCCCUCAGAAUGGUUGGAAAUCAUUCGUAGAGUGUAAAGGCAGAAGGGAGCUUGACUGCGAGACCUACAAGUCGAGCAGGGACGAAAGUCGGGCUUAGUGAUCCGGUGGUUCCGCAUGGAAGGGCCAUCGCUCAACGGAUAAAAGCUACCCUGGGGAUAACAGGCUUAUCUCCCCCAAGAGUUCACAUCGACGGGGAGGUUUGGCACCUCGAUGUCGGCUCAUCGCAUCCUGGGGCUGUAGUCGGUCCCAAGGGUUGGGCUGUUCGCCCAUUAAAGCGGUACGCGAGCUGGGUUCAGAACGUCGUGAGACAGUUCGGUCCCUAUCCGUCGCGGGCGUUGGAAAUUUGAGAGGAGCUGUCCUUAGUACGAGAGGACCGGGAUGGACACACCGCUGGUGUACCAGUUGUUCUGCCAAGAGCAUCGCUGGGUAGCUAUGUGUGGACGGGAUAAACGCUGAAAGCAUCUAAGCGUGAAGCCCCCCUCAAGAUGAGAUUUCCCAUCACUUUAAGUGAGUAAGACCCCUGAGAGAUGAUCAGGUAGAUAGGUUGGGAGUGGAAGUACAGCGAUGUAUGGAGCGGACCAAUACUAAUCGGUCGAGGACUUAACCA